AACGAACGCUGGCGGCAUGCCUAACACAUGCCAGUCGAACGAGACCUUCGGGUCUAGUGGCGCACGGGUGCGUAACGCGUGGGAACCUGCCCUUAGGUUCGGAAUAACUCCCCGAAAGGGGUGCUAAUACCGGAUAAUGUCUUCGGACCAAAGAUUUAUCGCCUUUGGAUGGGCCCGCGUUGGAUUAGCUAGUUGGUAGGGUAAAAGCCUACCAAGGCGACGAUCCAUAGCUGGUCUGAGAGGAUGAUCAGCCACACUGGGACUGAGACACGGCCCAGACUCCUACGGGAGGCAGCAGUGGGGAAUAUUGGACAAUGGGCGGAAGCCUGAUCCAGCAAUGCCGCGUGAGUGAUGAAGGCAGUAGGGUUGUAAAGCGCUUUUACCCGGGAUGAUAAUGACAGUACCGGGAGAAUAAGCGCCGGCUAACUCCGUG
This 433-nucleotide ribosomal RNA is filed under the name uncultured bacterium. Its description in RNAcentral is "partial 16S ribosomal RNA". It matches the Rfam family "Bacterial small subunit ribosomal RNA", at positions 29 to 507 of the family's 1533-position model. The record is from RNAcentral.